This 77-nucleotide transfer RNA is filed under the name Clostridia bacterium. RNAcentral's name for it is "tRNA-Val". It matches the Rfam family "tRNA". From Rfam's summary of the family: Transfer RNA (tRNA) molecules are approximately 80 nucleotides in length. The record is from RNAcentral. Lineage: Bacteria; Bacillati; Bacillota; Clostridia.
GGAGGCAUAGCCCAGCUGGUUAGAGCGCUACGUUGACAUCGUAGAGGUCACUGGUUCGAUUCCAGUUGUCUCCACCA